GUCAGCAGUCAUAUACCACCAACAGGUCAGACUAGAUGAUCCACCUGAAGCUAAGCAGGUUUGGGGUCUGGCCAGUACUUGGAUCGGAAACCAACUAAGAAAGCUGGGCUGCUGCUGGAA
This 120-nucleotide ribosomal RNA is filed under the name Paramormyrops kingsleyae. The record is from RNAcentral. Lineage: Eukaryota; Metazoa; Chordata; Actinopteri; Osteoglossiformes; Mormyridae.